GUUGUGAGGUUAAGCGACUAAGCGUACACGGUGGAUGCCCUGGCAGUCAGAGGCGAUGAAGGACGUGCUAAUCUGCGAUAAGCGUCGGUAAGGUGAUAUGAACCGUUAUAACCGGCGAUUUCCGAAUGGGGAAACCCAGUGUGAUUCGUCACACUAUCAUUAACUGAAUCCAUAGGUUAAUGAGGCGAACCGGGGGAACUGAAACAUCUAAGUACCCCGAGGAAAAGAAAUCAACCGAGAUUCCCCCAGUAGCGGCGAGCGAACGGGGAGCAGCCCAGAGCCUGAAUCAGUGUGUGUGUUAGUGGAAGCGUCUGGAAAGGCGUGCGAUACAGGGUGACAGCCCCGUACACAAAAAUGCACAUACUGUGAGCUCGAUGAGUAGGGCGGGACACGUGGUAUCCUGUCUGAAUAUGGGGGGACCAUCCUCCAAGGCUAAAUACUCCUGACUGACCGAUAGUGAACCAGUACCGUGAGGGAAAGGCGAAAAGAACCCCGGCGAGGGGAGUGAAAAAGAACCUGAAACCGUGUACGUACAAGCAGUGGGAGCACGCUUAGGCGUGUGACUGCGUACCUUUUGUAUAAUGGGUCAGCGACUUAUAUUCUGUAGCAAGGUUAACCGAAUAGGGGAGCCGAAGGGAAACCGAGUCUUAACUGGGCGUUAAGUUGCAGGGUAUAGACCCGAAACCCGGUGAUCUAGCCAUGGGCAGGUUGAAGGUUGGGUAACACUAACUGGAGGACCGAACCGACUAAUGUUGAAAAAUUAGCGGAUGACUUGUGGCUGGGGGUGAAAGGCCAAUCAAACCGGGAGAUAGCUGGUUCUCCCCGAAAGCUAUUUAGGUAGCGCCUCGUGAAUUCAUCUCCGGGGGUAGAGCACUGUUUCGGCAAGGGGGUCAUCCCGACUUACCAACCCGAUGCAAACUGCGAAUACCGGAGAAUGUUAUUACGGGAGACACACGGCGGGUGCUAACGUCCGUCGUGAAGAGGGAAACAACCCAGACCGCCAGCUAAGGUCCCAAAGUCAUGGUUAAGUGGGAAACGAUGUGGGAAGGCCCAGACAGCCAGGAUGUUGGCUUAGAAGCAGCCAUCAUUUAAAGAAAGCGUAAUAGCUCACUGGUCGAGUCGGCCUGCGCGGAAGAUGUAACGGGGCUAAACCAUGCACCGAAGCUGCGGCAGCGACGCUUAUGCGUUGUUGGGUAGGGGAGCGUUCUGUAAGCCUGUGAAGGUGUGCUGUGAGGUAUGCUGGAGGUAUCAGAAGUGCGAAUGCUGACAUAAGUAACGAUAAAGCGGGUGAAAAGCCCGCUCGCCGGAAGACCAAGGGUUCCUGUCCAACGUUAAUCGGGGCAGGGUGAGUCGACCCCUAAGGCGAGGCCGAAAGGCGUAGUCGAUGGGAAACAGGUUAAUAUUCCUGUACUUGGUGUUACUGCGAAGGGGGGACGGAGAAGGCUAUGUUGGCCGGGCGACGGUUGUCCCGGUUUAAGCGUGUAGGCUGGUUUUCCAGGCAAAUCCGGAAAAUCAAGGCCGAGGCGUGAUGACGAGGCACUACGGUGCUGAAGCAACAAAUGCCCUGCUUCCAGGAAAAGCCUCUAAGCAUCAGGUAACAUCAAAUCGUACCCCAAACCGACACAGGUGGUCAGGUAGAGAAUACCAAGGCGCUUGAGAGAACUCGGGUGAAGGAACUAGGCAAAAUGGUGCCGUAACUUCGGGAGAAGGCACGCUGAUACGUAGGUGAAGCGACUUGCUCGUGGAGCUGAAAUCAGUCGAAGAUACCAGCUGGCUGCAACUGUUUAUUAAAAACACAGCACUGUGCAAACACGAAAGUGGACGUAUACGGUGUGACGCCUGCCCGGUGCCGGAAGGUUAAUUGAUGGGGUUAGCGCAAGCGAAGCUCUUGAUCGAAGCCCCGGUAAACGGCGGCCGUAACUAUAACGGUCCUAAGGUAGCGAAAUUCCUUGUCGGGUAAGUUCCGACCUGCACGAAUGGCGUAAUGAUGGCCAGGCUGUCUCCACCCGAGACUCAGUGAAAUUGAACUCGCUGUGAAGAUGCAGUGUACCCGCGGCAAGACGGAAAGACCCCGUGA
This 2077-nucleotide ribosomal RNA is filed under the name Shigella flexneri. Its description in RNAcentral is "partial 23S ribosomal RNA". It matches the Rfam family "Bacterial large subunit ribosomal RNA", at positions 1 to 2096 of the family's 2925-position model. RNAcentral also lists the same sequence under 1 other name. The record is from RNAcentral. Lineage: Bacteria; Pseudomonadati; Pseudomonadota; Gammaproteobacteria; Enterobacterales; Enterobacteriaceae.